GCUGUUCUGUACCAAAUAUAAACAUGUGAUGGAAUGAGAGAACUCAACCAACGCAUUUUAUCCACGCAAAACCAGAUUAAUCUAAGAAGUGGAACAUUCAAGCUCUUAGUGAAUUUUCAAAGAAUGAGCACAUCCUUUGCUUGGAAUAACCUCAGACCCUUUCUGAGAUGAACAGAGAGAGAGAGAUCACAAGCAGGCAGAGAGGCAGGCAGAGAGAGAGGAGGAAGCCCCCCC
Long non-coding RNA from Lutra lutra (Eurasian river otter), 234 nucleotides. RefSeq lists it as uncharacterized. NCBI's taxonomy places the organism in Eukaryota, Metazoa, Chordata, Mammalia, Carnivora, Mustelidae. The record is from RefSeq and is a predicted model, not a curated record. The transcript has 3 exons.